RNAcentral lists this long non-coding RNA (1699 nucleotides) under Homo sapiens (human). RNAcentral describes it as "HSALNT0360668". Lineage: Eukaryota; Metazoa; Chordata; Mammalia; Primates; Hominidae. The record is from RNAcentral.
CACAACAAGCAGCGGAGAACUCGCAGCCUUGCGUCCGGAACCCGAAUCCGCACCCGGCAACCGGAGCAGACCAUUGUGGAGCCGGCUGCGGGGGGGAGCUGGGGGAUGCGGGCGCUCACAGGCCCACUCUGCCCACCCAGCCCCCUUGUUACACUACAUCCUGAGCCUAGAGGCUCUGUACUCUGCACAUAACCACCAGCAAAGUUUUGGAAAACACAGCAGCCAGGACCCAUCUCUGUAGUGACUUUGCAGACAUGUUUUGAGCGCCUGCUGUGUCUCAAGCCCUGUCCUAGGCACUGGAGAUGAGAUGAAGAAACGAUGAGUAGAGGCCUUGCUUACGUUUAUCCUGCAACUCAUGAUGAGGCUUACUCUGCAACUCCAGUGCUCGGCUUUUUACACAACAGAGUCUCUGUUGCCCAGGCUGGAGUACAGUCGCACGAUCUUGGCUCACUGCAACCUCUGCCUCUCAGGUUCGAGUGAUUCUUCUGCCUCAGCCUCCCAAGUUGCUGGGAUUACAGAAACGGGUAUGCAGGAGAUUAGAAGCCAGUGGGCAUGAGCGUGGCUGCCACCAGGUGAAUGCCUGUGCCCUGGCGUCCUGGGGCCCAGAGGACCGGGAGCUUCCAUCAAGAGGCUGCCUCCCAGCACCAAGGCCAGAGAGUGGCCAGGGGAGGCUAAGUACAGGGAUUUCUCAGAAUGGUGGAAGGAGCUCAGCCCAGCCUUGCCCAAGAUGUAUUGCAGGGGAAUCUGGACAUUUUAGCCAUACCAAGAAUCAUUAGAAGAUGCAAGCUGGAAAAAAGAAGGUCCCAGUUUUGGUUUUGAACCCUUCAUGUUGCAGCAAAUGUGAAUCUCCUACAGAUGGGUUUGGGGACUUACCUGUUCAAAUAGCAGCCCGGUGUCCUCUGUGGGUGGGGGGAGGUUUGUCUGUCCUUUCAUUCUAGUAAAUCCACCAUCCUCUGCACGAGAGCCAGGAGAAUCCACAUCACUUCAAAAGAGCCCCCAAAUCCUUACUACGUACUACAGCCUCCUUUCGAAUGUUCCUGGUUGAGAGGGAGAUCAAUUGCAUUAUUUACAAGUCAAAAAAUUUUGUAUCAAACUUCCUAUGAGCUUGGGCACUCAUGGCCUAUGGAGGCCCACCCAGACGCAGCCCCGCCAUCAUGCUUUUUCGUUGUUUUGUGGAUGUACCCAGGGCUAUUUACACACUCUUUCAUUAAAAGGCUUAUUUUUAUAUUUAAAAUGUUCUAAUCUUGGAGUGAAUUUUACUAAAUGCUAGUGUCCAAUCUGUUCCCCAACUGAAGUUAUCAGAGACAGAAUCCCUUUUAUAUUCAAGUGGAAAUUACUCAUUUUCUCUUGGGUUUUCAAUGUAUCGUCUGACUGUGAGGCUGGCAUUAUUUUCUCUGGGUUUGAAAGCUUCCUGAGAUGUCCUGUUUGUAAGCUCCUGUCCGCAUCACGUUAUCUGCAGGGAAUGUGCUCCCUCCAGGGAGUGUCCUCGGCACUGAUGUGGGAAGAGCCCCCUCUAUAAGUCAUCAUGGCAUUCGGUCAUGGGAGAGUUCCAUACGGGAAAGAUGGAGCAGAGGAAGACAAGGUGUUGAAACCAGUACAGCACCACCUGGGAUAUGGAUGAUCCAGAAUUACAGGACACGUCUUCAUUAAGCCUGGAUGGUUCCACUUAAGACGCGGUUUCACUGGCAUCCAUAGUAAU